RNAcentral lists this ribosomal RNA (486 nucleotides) under uncultured bacterium. RNAcentral's name for it is "partial 16S ribosomal RNA". It matches the Rfam family "Bacterial small subunit ribosomal RNA", at positions 30 to 507 of the family's 1533-position model. The record is from RNAcentral.
AUUGAACGCUGGCGGCAUGCCUUACACAUGCAAGUCGAACGGCAGCACGGGUGGUUGCCUCCGGUGGCGAGUGCCGCAUGGGUGAGUAAUACAUCGGGAUACGCCCUGUAGUGGGGGAUAGCCCGUUGAAAGCCGGGUUAAUACCACAUAAGAACUACGGGUGCCAGCGGGGGACAUACGGAACGCGCGCUUUAGGGUCAGUCCGUGGUUGAUUAGCUAGGUGGUGGGGAAAAGGCAUACCAAGGGCACGAUCAGUAGCCGGUCUGAGAGGGAGACCAGCCACACUGGAACUGAGACACGGUCCAGACUCCUACGGGAGGCAGCAGUAGGGAAUUUUCGGCAAUGGGCGAAAGCCUGAUCCAGCAAUGCCGCGUGUGUGAAGAAGGCCUUCGGGUUGUAAAGCUCUUUUAUCCGGAAAGAAAAACUUGGUCCUAAUACGGGCGCGUGAUGACGGUACCGGAUGAGUAAGCACCGGCUAACUACGUG